RNAcentral lists this ribosomal RNA (464 nucleotides) under uncultured bacterium. RNAcentral describes it as "partial 16S ribosomal RNA". It matches the Rfam family "Bacterial small subunit ribosomal RNA", at positions 28 to 507 of the family's 1533-position model. The record is from RNAcentral.
GACGAACGCUGGCGGCGUGCUUAACACAUGCAAGUCGAACGGAAAGGCCCUGCUUGCAGGGUACUCGAGUGGCGAACGGGUGAGUAACACGUGGGUGAUCUGCCCUGCACUUCGGGUUAAGCCUGGGAAACUGGGUCUAAUACCGGAUAGGAGCCAUUUUUAGUGUGAUGGUUGGAAAGUUUUUUCGGUGUUGGAUGAGCUCGGGGCCUAUCAGCUUGUUGGUGGGGUAAUGGCCUACCAAGGCGGCGACGGGUAGCUGGCCUGAGAGGGUGGACGGCCACAUUGGGACUGCGAGAGGGACCAGACUCCUACGGGAGGCAGCAGUGGGGAAUAUUGCACAAUGGGCGCAAGCCUGAUGCAGCGACGCCGCGUGGGGGAUGACGGCCUUCGGGUUGGAAACUCCUUUCGCUAGGGACGAAGCUUUUGUGACGGUACCUAGAUAAGAAGCACCGGCUAACUACGUG